CUGGGCUACGGAGACAUGUAUCCCAAGACGUGGUCAGGGAUGCUGGUCGGGGCCCUGUGUGCCCUGGCCGGGGUGCUCACCAUCGCCAUGCCCGUGCCCGUCAUCGUCAACAAC
Non-coding RNA from Mustela putorius furo (domestic ferret), 114 nucleotides. The record is from Rfam. NCBI's taxonomy places the organism in Eukaryota, Metazoa, Chordata, Mammalia, Carnivora, Mustelidae.